RNAcentral lists this small RNA (15491 nucleotides) under Mytilus galloprovincialis (Mediterranean mussel). Lineage: Eukaryota; Metazoa; Mollusca; Bivalvia; Mytilida; Mytilidae. The record is from RNAcentral.
AUGUAUAGCACAUUUUCUAAGGUAGAUGAACGUGCUGCAGGCGGAUCAUCCAUUUUUGUGAAGGACAACGUCAUUCAUAGCACAGUCCAACUCACAACGGAUCUGCAAGCAGUUGCAAUUCGUUUAUCAUUAGACAAAACAAUUACAUUAUGUUCGAUAUAUAUUCCACCUAAUUCAAUUAUCGAUAAAGCAAAACUCAAAAACCUCACUGAUCAAUUACCCUCACCAUUUAUACUUAUGGGCGACUUCAAUGCCCACAAUCCAUUAUGGGGUAGCAAGACUCAUAAUGCCAAAGGUAAGAUCAUUGAGGACUUUGUCUCUCAAGGAAGGAUUAUGCAUUUUUAAUGAUGGAUCUAAUACGUAUCUUCAUCCUGGAAACGGGUCUUAUUCUUCUAUUGAUAUCACUAUAUGCGAUCCCUCUCUGCUUCUGGAUUAUUCAUGGCGUGUUCAUGAUGAUCUAUGUGGAAGUGAUCACUUUCCAAUAGUACUUGGAACAUCUUUUAAAUUCUGCCCAACGGAGAGUGCCACGUUGGAAGCUUGGCAGGGCGGGCUGGUCCUUGUUUGAGAGUCUCUGUCGAACGGAACUUCGGUCAAAGAUGUUUGAGACUGUGCAAAGAUCCAAUUUUAAACUUUUAAUACAGUUCUAACGUCAAUUGCUGACAGAACUAUUCCUAAGACCUCGGCAAAUCCAAACAUCCCAGUAAACCAUGGUUUGAUGACGCAUGUGAUCAAGCCAUAGGUGACCGUAAAAAAUCUGAAAGGACGGUUCAAUCAACAACCAACGACGGAAAACUUGAGUAAUUUCCGUAUUUUUCGCGCUAAGGGCACGGCGGACUUGUAGGGCAAGGCCCGACGAACAUCCUGGGAAAAAAUUUGUCUCUGGGAUUACAUCUCGCACUCCGAUGACAAAAGUUUGGAAUAUGGUAAAUAAAAUAAAAGGUAAAAAUUCUAAAGCCACUGUAAAACAUUUGAAAGACGGCAAUAAUUUAUUAACAUCUGAAAAGGAUAUUGCCAACAAACUUGGUGGAAACUUUUGCGAAGUCUUCUUCUUGUAACAAGCUACAGGGAAGACUUUAAAAAAGUUAAAAAACAAAAAGAAAAAAAAUAAAUUAAACUUUAAAUCAAAAAAUGGUGAAAAUUAUAAUAAACUAUUUUCUCUUGAAGAACUUAAAACAUCUCUGUCAAAAGCCCAUGAUACAGCUUGUGGGCCUGAUAAUAUUCACUACCAACUCUUAAAACACUUGCCAGAUUCCUCGCUAGAAGCUCUCUUGCAGCUCAUGAAUAACAUCUGGGAAUCUGGUGAUUUACCAUCAAUCUGGAAGCUUGCAACCGUCGUGCCUAUUCCAAAACCAAGUAAAGAUCAUACGGAUCCUAUUAAUUAUCGACCAAUUGCUCUUACCAGUUGUGUCUGUAAAAACACUCGAACGGAUGGUCAAUAAUCGCCUUGUUUGGUUCCUGGAAUCCAAUGGGCUAUUAACCAAUAUCCAGUGUGGAUUCCGACAGGGUCGCAGUACUCUUGAUCAUCUUGUUCGAUUCGAAUCAUUUUGUCCGUAAUGGUUUUGCGAAAAAUGAGCAUGUGGUGUCGGUCUUUUUCGACCUUGAGAAGGCCUAUGAUACUGCAUGGAAAUAUGGUAUUUUAAAAGAUCUAUUUGAUAUGGGGUUGAAAGGCAAUAUGCCUAAUUUUAUUUCUAAUUUUCUCUCUAACAGACAAUUUAAUGUUAGAGUUAAUUCGACCAUGUCUGAUCUUUAUGAUCAAGAGAUGGGUGUCCCUCAGGGCAGUAUUUUAUCUGUUACAUUAUUUAGUCUUAAAAUCAACAGCCUUGUUGAAGUUUUAAAAAGUAAUAUUGAAGGUUCAUUGUACGUUGAUGAUUUUUUAAUAUGUUACAGAGGCAAAAAUAUGAAUAACAUUGAAAGACAAUUACAAUUAUGUCUUUGGAAGAAUUGAAAAAUGGGCCUCGGAAAAAUGGUUUUAAAUUUUCCACUUCAAAAACGGUCGGGAUGCAUUUUUGUAACAAAAGAAAAUUGCAUCUUGAUCCAGAACUAACUUUGUACGGCAACCCAAUUAAAAUGGUUGAUGAAACCAAAUUUCUUGGUUUACUUUUCGAUAAAAAGUUAACCUUUCUGCCCCAUAUCAAAAUGUUUAAAAAGCGAGAUGUUUAAAAGCUUUAGAUAUUUUAAAAGUUGUCGGCAGCACUGACUGGGGUGCUGAUCGCAACAUUUUACUAAAUUUAUAUAGAUCUCUUGUUAGAUCUAAACUAGAUUAUGGCUCUGCAAGGAAGUCCUACAUACAGAUUCUCGAUGCUGUGCAUCACCAAGGUUUGCGUCUCUGUCUUGGCGCAUUUAAAACCUCACCAGUUGAGAGUCUGUAUGUAGAGGCUGAUGAGCACUCGCUCACUGACAGACGUUUGAAGCUUGGACUUCAAUAUUCUGUCAAACUAAAAGCCCAUUCAGAUAAUCCUGCCUACAGCUGUGUUUUUAAUCCGAUUUAUGAAGAUAUUUUUUGCAAAAACAUGAAAUUAAAAUUCCUCCGUUAGGUAUUACGUUUAAAACCACAUUUAGCUUCUUUUUGAUUUAAAAUCUGUUGCUCAAGUUCAAACUUGCAAAUGUCCUCCAUGGGAACUUCCCAAACCAUAAAUGAUAUUUGAUCUCCGUGAACACAAUAAAAAUAAAACAAAUCCUCUUUUAAUUCAGCAACACUAUGCUGAAAUUAAAGCCGAUUAUCUAGAUUUUUCAACUGUCUAUACUGAUGGAUCAAAAGAUGGUGAUAGAGUUGCAUCUGCUGCUGUCUUCAGGGACAGAGCUGCAACCCUCCGUUUGCCAUCUGAUGCAUCCAUCUUUACUGCUGAAGCAGAAGCAAUAAUUUUGGCUUUGAAAUUUAUUGCUUCUUCAGAUAAAUCCAAAUUUAUUAUAUGUUCGGAUUCACUUUCAUGUUUACAAGCUAUACGAAAUACUAAAAUUAAAAACCCAACAAUCCUGAAAAUUUUAUAUGUAAUGAGGAAUUUAAAAAUUCUUCUGAAAGAAAUAAUAUUUCUAUUGGUUCCGAGUCAUGUUGGAAUCCUUGGAAAUACAGCUGUAGACCGUGAGGCAAAGAAUGCCCUGGGUGACCCUCUAUCGAACUGUGAUAUACCAUAUACUGAUUUUAAAUCUAAUAUUAGGGAAUAUGUUUUUAAUAUAUUGAAAAAUAAAUGGAGUAAAAAAGAUGAUAAUAAAUUGCAUGAAAUUAAACCUAAUUUAGGCAAACCUUUUAAUAAUAUUAUGUGCAGAAAAGAUCAGUGUGUUAUUACUAGAUGUCCGUAUUGGGUCAUACUAGAAUAACACACGAGUAUCUUUUAAAAAAUGAAGAUGAACCACAAUGUGUUCCUUGCAACUGCAAGUAUACUAUUAAACAUGUUUUAAUUAAUUGUAUUGACUUUCAAAUUGCUGAUAUUCGUAAGAAGCAUUUCAAUGUCAAUAAUAUGUAUGAUUUAUUUAAAAAUGUUCCAUUUACAAAUAUUGUUGCUUUUUUAAAAGAAAUUGGAAUUUAUUAUAGAAUAUAAAAUUGUUAUUAUAUUUAAAUCGAUUUUAAUUUUUAUCACGUUAUUUUACUGUUGAUUUUUAUUUGUAUAUACUCAAUUUGCUUGUUCAUGAUACACUAGAACAACCGGAUGUUUAAAAUGUAAUCCGCGGUAACGUUUCAAAACAUAUGUAAUCAAGUUCAUUGAUAAAUAUUACUUCUUUAAUUAUUUAGUUUACUUAACGGUUUUCCAUUAAAAAAUUUAAAAUAAUAGUUUUAAGAAAACAAUCUUGAAUAAAAUUAGUUGAAUGAUCCUUGAUUGCACCUCCGAGCUUUUCCGAAGUUUAUCGAAGCGGAAUGGGGAUCAUCUCAAGGUUUCAUGAGGUGUUAAUGUAACAUGUCAUCAAUCUUUCGAAUUUUGUUUAAAAUUUUGAAAACUUUUACUCACGUCCAAACGCAUAACUCUCUAUUGGAAUUUUCCAGUAACGUUUAUCAUCGAAACUGCAAAGUCCCUUUUUCACAAUUGUGUCUAUGAAAAGCUGAUAGUUUUUACUCCUAAAUCAAAUUCAUCGAAUUUAAAGUGACAGUUUCAUUCAACAAGCACUUUUUGUAAUUUUCAUGUCUGAGUGUAUUUUUAAUUUCACAUUUAGCAAUCCCUUUAACCACUUUUUUCUCCACCUGAUAUUUAUUUAUCCGUCCAUCUUCUCAUUUUUCAGUCGUAUCAUAUUUUAAACUACAUUUUGGAACGUAAACCUACAAAUUCUUUGAUGGGAACGCCUGAAAGUAUAUAUUUUAUUUUACUAUGAGAAUAAUUACGAAAGGUAUAUAUAAUAUACAUAAAUCAGGGCUAGGAAACGACUGCAUGAUCUCUAUAGAUUAGUGAAACUUACAAAGUAGCGAUUAACAAAUGAUAAAUUAUGUAAUAAAUAGGUUUUUAAUCUAGAAUGAUAUAUUAUAACUAAUACAUUUCAUUUCAAUGAAAUAAUGGUUGCACCUAGAGAAAUUCGAGCGAGUAUAAGUAAAUACGGAUGGAGUAAAAUAGAAAGAAUUGCUUUCCCUAGCAGAAUAAGAUCCUGGACGCCGUUGUGUUCGAAUAGAGAUUGAGGAAUUUCACUAUUUUCUAGAUAUAUAUUUGUAACAUACAUCACUAAUUCAUUCUUUAUAAAAGAUCACUUCAUUGGCAACCUUUUCAUAUAGAAUUCAUCAGAUGAAACUGGAGAUACGCUAUUAACUUUGCCUGCAAGUUCAUCUUUCAUAUUCCCUGGCACCUUCUUAAAAUUCUUAUGAAAAUAAUGGAUGGAUUUCUGGAUAAUUUGAAGUGUCCAAGUGCUCUUUAAUGGUAUGCAUGUCCUGGUAUACGUCUUUGGUUCUGAUUUCAUAACAUGAGUCUAAAGAGCAAGAAAAAAAAAUACACUUAAAUAUAUAACAGUCCAUUUCACAAGCAAAGACAGAAGAAUAAUAAUAAUAGAAGAUUUUUAACUUGUAAUUUCUUUCAUACAUAUCUUAAGUAAGUUAGGAUAUCUAAAAAAUAAAAAUCUGCCAUGAAAUUAAAAAUAAAUAAAACUAAUUUAACAGUUGUGAAUGAGGCUUAAAGGUGGAAAUAGUAGAAGAGUAAAGUAAUACCUGUUUCUAUUUUCUACGGGGCCGAAAAUGGAAAACACUCAAUCAGUAUUUGCAUUCGAUCAGAAAAUAAACACGAGUGGGAACAUCGAGUUCCGAUGUAGUUUUGGAAGAAAACAGGCUUUAGUUCUGCGGCGGCAUAGAUUUAUUUUAUAUAUAUAUAGAACUAUAUGAUAACCGACUAGAUAAGAUUUCCUUUGUUUGUAAAUGUUGUACUUUUACUUGUUCGGCUUUAUAAAUAUUUUGGUAGGAACGUCUUAUGUAGACGAAACGCAGUCUCACUGGACCGCCACAUGAGAGCCCAAGUCAGCUACCAAAUCUGGCUACCAAAUCUGACUUGGGUUUUCACCUCCACAAAUUUGUUCAUUAUUGAAACUUUACAAAAAUAGAUGCGUAUGAAAGAUGUAAUAUCGCUUUUGGCUUUCUAAAAGUAAGUACCUGUCAAAGGUAGAAACAAACAACAUUCUUUCAAAAUUCAAGUCACGUUGGUAGAUGUAUUAAAGGACUGUCUUUCUCAGACAGUCCGGAUUAUAACAUGAUCAGUUAUGAAGAAAACGUUUACCAGUUCAGCCAUUGUUUGCCGUUAUUGUGUGCCUUGUCUAAUUUGUUGGGUUGCUGACUAACUUGACUUUUCGAUAGUCUAACACCUGGGAAUUGGUGUCAUAACCAGGAUAAUUCUUAUAUUCGUAAUCAGUUAAGCGAUUUUUCUGAUCUUUUGUUACUUUCUCAUAUUGGCUGAGCAAGACAUAGGACAAGCGUUCAAUAACCUAGCUUUCCAACUGCCAGGGUUAUCAAACAAAUUAGGGGCACAAGGGGUUAAUCAAAUCAUUCCAAAAUUUUCGUCGGGGUGCUACAAAGUUUAGGAUAUGGAUCAAACAAAUUGAAAAAUAUAUUGUUUUAGCAGGGUUGGGCAGAAACGAAGCGAAAAUGGUAGCAUACCAAGCUAAUGACCCGCCGGUUAGUGAUUUCAUCCAUAGUAGGAUAGAGUAAAAUGACGGGGAUGAAACUUUUGGUGGAAUGAGUUAAAACCUCAAUUAAUUGGGAGAUUUUCGGAAGUUUCAGAUCCACAACACGCUUUUCACCUUUUACGCAAAAUUAAGCAAAAACAUGGUGAAAACGUCCCCAUCUUCGCGGACAGACUGUAUAAUCUCGCGGACGAGGUAUUUAGGGAUCAGAACGUAAAUUUACCAAUAAUACAAAAACAAGUGGUAAACUUUUUCAUAAAUGGCCUGUCGUAAGACUACCUGAAAUUGAGAAUAAUAAUGUCAAAUCCAGACACCUUUCAAGGUGCGGUUGCGAUGAAUGAAUAAAAUUUGAGAAAAAGGUUUGAAUUGAGAGGGGAACCCCCGAAAAGUAGGCAUUUUGAAGUACAGGCUGCGAUUGAAGAAGCAAUGGAAGUAGACCAUUAUAGAAAUUCUAAACGAUGCUCUAAUUGUAAUAAUAUAGGACAUAGAUCUAGGGAUUGUAGGGCAAGAAAACUCCUAAAUUUAAUAAAGAAAUAGAAUGCUGGAAAUGUGGAAGAAAAGGUCACAUAAAAAGAUUUUGUAGGGUUAGGACUUUUGAGAAACAAGAGAAUAUAUGUCAGGGAAACAAUUCGAUAAUAAUUGCGAAAUAGACGCUCCUCUUGAAUACAAAAGUAUUAUCGAAAAAAGUAAGAACAAGACAUUUUUGCUGCACAAGAUUCAGAAUUAGGUCACACUGACACGGUAAAAAUGGAAAUAGAAACAGGAAAUCACCCUCCCAUUAAAUUAAAACCAUAUAGAACACCCUUACAUAAGAGACCAAUAGUAGAUAAGGCAAUUGAUGAAAUGCUUGAUGCUCGGGUCAUAAGAAGAUCAAAAAGGAUUACCACACAGUGUUCAACUUGUUUAUUCAUCCACUUUUAUUUCCAUAUAGUAUAGGAGAUGAAGUGUGAGAAAAAAAAACAAUAAUAAAUUCAGAUGAUAUACCAUUAAUGGAAUUAUCUAAAAAGAAAUAAGGGGGAAGAAAAUUUUCUUAGAACAAGAUAAUGUCAAUAAUAGUCAAAUAGAAAGUGAUGAGCAAGUCAUAAAAGAAGAAGUAGAAAAUUCGCCUUCAGAUAAUGACGUCUCUGACAUUGAUGAUAACAUGUCUAGCACUCAUUGUUCGUCUGUAACAUCAGAAAUGUACGACAUGGAAGAUAACAUGUCUGUAAAUAGGGUUAAAAUAAAAAAUAAUCAGAACUAACGAAACAAAAUUGGUAUCUAAGGAACAUGUACACAAUUUGGUGAGGGCUUUAAUAGGCAUUAUGUAGGUAUCAAUUGGCUUUAUAGGUGUAGGAAGGAUGCAAAUCAUUUAAGAAUUUCUAAAACUUAUAAAAUAUGUAAUAAAACUAGUAUUUAUUGUCAUUUUACAGAAUGGCAGACAAUGAAGAUGUUUUAGCCCAGCUAGAACCCCUUUCUCUGUGGAAAUUAUUACCUCGUUUAGUAGUGUGGCACAUAUAUAAAUUGUUUAAGACCAAUUUUUGGAGGGAAAAACUAGAUCGCAAAAGAAGGGAACCUCUAUUUAAAGAAUUCCACGCAAUACAGAAGCUGAGAAACCUGUCGGAUCCAAUUAUUAUCGACAAUUUUUGUGGUUUACCGACAAAAUUCGCAGAGUUUAAUUGCACGCCGGAAACAAUUUGCCGAAAUUCAUAAUCUAUCAUAUCAGGAACAUCUGAAGAAAUGGACGUUGGAGAAUUUCAAAGCCAUUGGAUGGUUAAAACAAUCGAAUCGCUUUGGGGUUUACCACCAAGAAGUAAUCAUGAACAAUGCAAGGAAAAUGCACCGGAUACGAAUUUUCGACUUGAUAAUUAAAUUCGAAACUAUCAUAGAAAACAAAAAAAAACCAUUCUAUUCAGGACUGUCGUACGAAUUUCAGAAUUGAUAAAGGCCAGAUCAAUACAAAAAAAAAAUUUAUGAUAAUUUGUAUGUGUAUCAUUAUUUUUAUGAAAAAACAGUGAUGAAGAGGUGGUGGUUCUCACUUGUUCUUUUUGACUUAACCAGCCAAUUCAUUGUCAAGGAAAAUGUAAUGUUCCAGAAAAUCAAGGAAAUAGCAACUACAAGGUCAAAUUGGCUCAUUAAUUUUGUCGUAGACUUGGAUCCUUUUGAAUUAUUUCUUAAAAAAUAGAACAAGACUUGGGCAAAGCUUUUCUCGCUAUGAAAAAAGUUCACACAACUUCUAUGUUUUACACCCCAGACAAAAAAACACAUUUUGGCUACUAUCUUAAGUCUACAAAGGGAGGUUGAAGGAUUAAAUCGGACUAAAGAUUAUCUCCGUUCACAAUUCAAUGAUUACAAAUCUUUAUAUUACGACGAAACGGCAAAGUUUAGAACUAAACGUAGCUUAUUUCCUAUUAUAGGCAAAGCAUUAAUUUUUCUAUUUGGUACUGUAUCAGAUUGAUUGAUUGUUAGUUGCUUAACGUCAGUACUGUAUCAGACAGCGACUUGUCAAAAAUUCGAAGAAAUAUCAAAACUUUGGCACAAAAUCAAGAUGCAAUUCGUCAUAUUGUUCAAGAUGGGUUAACUAUUUUGAACACUACACAAACACAUGUUUCUGAAAAUAGACACAAGGUCAAUGAGCUAAUUGAAAGUGUUGAAGAACUGGGAAAUAGGCUACUAUUGUAAUAGAAUUCUGCAAUUUAUUUGUUUCAUAUAGUUUUUGAUUAAUUUAUGUAUGGUCAUUUGUUACAGUUAUUUAUCAUGUUUAUCGACUUUUAUGUAUAAAGUGAAAAGUAAAUAUCAGCGGUCACUUUAAAUUAUCUUGGGGCAAAUAGAAUAUUUAAUAUCAGGUUGUCAGAAUGACCUCUAUUCAUUUAUAACAUUGAUGUUAUGCAAUUUUAUCUUCAGUUCUGACCGAAAUUGACUAUUACUUAAUUUUGAGGGAAAAAUGACAAGUAGCAUGUGUUUGGACAAUGGUCAAACUACGCAGGCAAUUUUGAGUGGUUUUAAGCUAUUUGAACAGAAUAAAUUAGUAAUAUUGACAUUUAUAAAUAUCUUAAAUUAUAUAAAUUAUGAUUGUUGUAUAUUAUGUUGUGUAUAUUUUUUUAGUAACAAAUUGUUCUUUAUUAUAAAAGAAAAAUGUUUAUUAAUAUGUUUGAAAUAUAAUUUGGUUAAUUUUGAAAUAAGAAAUAGAAGUAAUUUAAGAAAAACUAUUUUUAUAUAAUUUUGAGUUUUGGCCUGGUUCUUGACCAUUACCAUAUUUGGUCAUUCUAAUUUCAUUUUUCAUUUGCAUAUUCGGUUGUUUUGACAAUUAGUUUGUAAUCAAUGGAAAACAUUAUUUAUAGAUCCGAACCGAAUACUAUAUAAAGUGAAUCAAGCCGCUUUUACAUUAAUUGCGGGUUUCUUGAUAUUUCUAGGUGAGUUCUUAGUUUGGAAAUAAUUUAUAUUUAAAAUUAUUUUUCUUUUUAUUUUAUUUUGGAAAAGUUAAAUAAAAUUUAUAAGUAACUGAUAUUUUUUAAUUUACAAAGUUUAAAUUUAUAACAAUAAUUAUUAUAUUAUUCAACAAUUUAUUGUAAUUAUAUGUUGUAUUUUAUUAUUGUUUUCAAUUUAUUUUAACUUUGAAAUAAUAUUGUAAAAUUAUAUUGUCAUUACUUUAAUGUUUUCUUUAUUAAAUUAAUUGCGGGUUUCUUGAUAUUUCUAGUUUGGUUUUCUUUCCUGUUGCGUUCCAGCGUUCCCAGCCUUUCUACCGUGAGACUUACCCCUCAAUUGUGCUGUAAAGCAAUACAAUUGGAACACGAAAAAUAACAACACAAUAGAAUGGUGAGGACCUUCUAAAAACCAUGUUUUCAACAGGAAGACACCAAAAGGAAAAACGCCUAUAAACUACCAACAGCUUGAUACGGCAUUUGAGAGGUUACAUUUUGGACAACUUGAAGACAGAGAAGAGACUGUUGUCUUUAAUACUAAUAAAGAAAACUACUACAAGCAUAGUGACGAUACCACGGUUCCACUCGAGCAGCCACCGAGAUACCAUUCGUCGCCAGACUCGCAAAUUUUUCAACAACCUUACAUUCCUGCUUGGGAGAAAUCUUCUCUCCCAUCUCCAAUUAAACCAAUUCGGCCAUCAGUGGUGCUGAAACCAAAAUUUCCGGCUUCCUUGGCAACAAGAGCACCAAAACCAAUAUUGAAGACGCCAGCGCAAUUCUCAGCUCUAUAUCCGACAUUGCCACCUUCAUCAUUGCCACCAGCGGCACCAGUUUCACAGUUAAUUUCGACCGGACCAGCUGCUCAACUAAUUUCGGCUGCGGCACCAGCUUCGUCAUCAUCUGCUUUCUCGUUAAUCCCUGCUUUGACAACGUCAGUACCAACUACAGCGGCUACAACUUACAACUUCUUCAGGAGCCACAUCUACUACACCAGGUACAGUGCAACCUUCUACGAACAUUUUUAACAUGUCAUCUAUUUUAAAAAUUGAAAAAUUUAAGGGUGAUAAUUCACAAAAUCCAGAGACUUGGUUAACAAAUUUUAAUCAAUAUUGUUCUUUCUAUGAUUUGUCAAAGAAAAAAAGUUCAGAGUCAUUUCCAUUUCAUUUAGAUGGUCAUGCUAAAAUUUGGUAUGAUACCAUAUCUGAUGCAAAGAAACAAAAUUUUGAUCAAUUGAUCCUUGCUUUUAAGGAUAGAUUUAAAGAUAAACAACAUCUUUUAGAUAUAACUAUCUUACAAACGCAUCAGGGAAGAAAUGAGUCUGUACUAGAUUUCUUAUCUAGAUUGUUAAAAUUAGCUACAAACAGGAAUAUAUCUGAUGAUAUAUUGCUGGCAGUAGCAAUGAAUGGUUUAAAGGCCGAUUUAAAAACAAUUGUCAUGACUAAGGAACCUAAAAAUAUUGAAGAAUUUAGGCAUGCCGCUAAUUUAGCAGAAAAAGCAAUUGAUUCUAAUGUAAAUUCUUUAAAUUCAAUGAAUCAAACUGUCUUAAAUGAGAUACACUCCUUAAGAGAACAUAUUCAAACUAUGAAUGUAAACAGUCCAACAACUACACAAAAUCAAUCUUAUCAACCUCCUUCAAACCCUCCAAAUACUGUUUAUGUUCAACAGCCCGUUUAUCAAAGUCCAAGGGUACCAAAUCAGCCAAUGCAUCAAUCAAAUAGGUUUAGGUCACCUCAAAAUCAAUAUCCUCGCCAAAGAUUUAAUAGGAUGCCUCCACGCCAACCUUACAAUCAAAAUUUUCGACAACCAAUUCGUUAUCAAGAUCAGUCACAAACAUCGUUUCAACGAUGUUCUUAUUGCAAUGGGUUUUGUCAAAAUAGGUCUUACUGUCCAGCUAGGGGAGUAGUUUGUCAUAUGUGUAACAAGAUAGGACAUUUUGCCAAAGCUUGUUCAUUUCAAGGAGAAUGCAAACACAAUAGCAAUCCAGACCUGUUCGAAUGUUUACUUUGGACAGGCAUACAAAACAGAACAAUAAAUUUAAAAAGUAUUGUUCAAAACAAAAAACUUGUUCAAAACAAGAAAAUUCAAAUUCAGAAUCAAAUAGAUUUGUUACUGAAAUGCAUCAAUGUCUCAUUCCAAUAAAUUUUGGUUAUUUAAAGAUAAGAGCAUUAAUCGAUACGGGUUCAUCAAUAUGUGCGAUAAAUGAAAAAACCUUCUUAAAAUCAAAAUUUGCAAACAAUCAAUUAUUUACUUCAGAUAUUAAACACAUUGUUGGAGCCGGUGGAGCUACCUACCCAGUUAAAGGCAAAAUUAAAGUAGAUUUUGAAUUAGGUGGUGUAAUUCUUUCUCAAAUUUUUUAUAUUAUACCAGCUUUAAGACAUUCAAUGAUUUUAGGAAUAGAUUUUUGCAAAGAAAAGAGUGUUUGUUUAAACUGGAACACAAAUAAAUUAUCUUUGAUUAAAGAUUCAGUUACAGUCAAUGUAAUAAGAGUAACACCAGGUUAUGCUAGGGUUAAUAGAAACUGUUCAAUUCCUCCAAAUACAAUUACAAAUGUUUGUGUUAGAUUAUCUAAAGCAUUGCCUAAUCGAAAUUAUCUAUUAGAACCAUUUAAAAAUCUAAAGUUAGAUUGUUUGACAGCUAGAUGUUUAAUCAAAAACAGGAACAACAAAGGGUAUUUACAAAUUUUAAAUAAUCAGGAUUAAUUUUGGCCACUAUCAAUGAUGUUGAUUCAAGUAAAAUAUUUACUUUAGAUGAGGACAAGUCAAUCAAUAAAUCUACAGUUUCAUCUGUGAAUUCUGUACAAACUGACCCAAAUAAAACAAAUCUUAAAUUUGAUUUAUCAAAAGCCGAUUUAACAGAUCAGCAAAAACAACAAUUAAAUAUAUUUCUAAAUAAAAACAGAGAUGUAUUUGCAACAAGUUUAGAAGAGUUAGGUAAAACUAAUGUUUAUAAACAUAAAAUUAAUACUGGAAAUGCCCCGCCUGUGAAAUCUCGUCCUUAUAGGACUUCACCAGCCGCUAAACAAGAAAUUCAAAAACAAGUUGGAGAACUUCUUAAAUAUGAUAUUAUAGAGCCAUCAACUAGUGAAUAUAGCUCACCAAUUGUUCUAGUUAAGAAAAAAGAUAACACUUGGAGACUCUGCAUUGAUUUUAGAAAUUUAAACAAACAAUCUAUUUUGAGGCAAUAUCCGUUGCCCCGUUUAGAUGAUGUUUUUGAUGCUAUAGGACAAUCAAACGCCAAAAUAUAUUCACGCCUUGAUUUGACAAUGGCUUAUUAUCAAAUGCCAAUGGACGAAGACUCAAAGCAUAAAACAGCCUUUGUCACUCAUGAUAAUCUAUAUCAAUUUAAAAGAAUGCCAUAUGGUUUAAAUAAUGCUUGUCAAAGUUUUCAAUCUUUAAUGACACAAGUUUUGAGAGGAUUAACAUGGAAACAUUGCUUAGUAUACGUUGAUGACGUAAUCAUUUGGUCAGAAAAUUUUGAAUCUCAUUUACAACAUUUAGAUUUAAUUUUUAAAAGAUUAAAAGAAGCAAAUUUAAAAUUAAGACCUAACAAAUGUGAUUUUGCUAAAUCAGAAAUUCUUUAUUUAGGACACAUUAUUUCUAAAGAAGGUAUUAAAGUUGACUCCUCAAAAACAAAUGCUGUUGAAACUUUUCCUAUUCCCAACAAUCAACAUGAUGUUAGAAGUUUUUUAGGUUUAUGCAACUACUAUAGAAAAUUUGUUAAGGGUUAUGCCAAAAUUGCAUCUCCUCUUAAUAGACUCCUUACUAAGGAUACACCAUUUAAAUGGACUACAGAUUGUCAAGAUGCUUUUAAAAAAUUAAAAGAAGCUUUAACAUCAACUCCAGUCUUAAAUUUUCCAAAUUUCAAUAAACCGUUUAUUGUUUCUUGCGACGCUUCAGGUUCAGCCAUUGGCUAUAUUUUAUCACAAAUUGGCGAAGAUCAAAAAGAACAUGUUAUUGGUUAUGGGGGAAGAGCCUUAACACCUGCAGAAAAAAAUUACACUGUUACAGAACAAGAAAUGUUAGCACUUGUCUCAGCUGUGGCGUAUUUUCAUGUUUAUCUUGUAACUAAUAAGUUUACUAUUUAUACAGACCACAAAGCUUUAACAUGGUUACAAACUAUUAAACACACAAAUUCCAGAUUGAUAAGAUGGGCAUUAAAACUUCAAGAAUACAAAUUUGAUGUUAUUCAUAGAUUAGGGUCGAGAAAUCAAAAUUGCGAUGCACUUUCAAGACGUAAUUAUGAAACACAAUUGGAAAACUCUGAUUCUUUAACUGAAAUUACAUUCAUUUACCCUGGAGAAACAUUAGAACAAGUUACAAACUCUGAGAAAGAAGUUCCAAUUUUAUCGUUAGAAGACAUUUCAUCUUUACAAAAAAAAUGCCCAUAUUUUGGACCUAUAAUUAAAUUUUUAGAAAAUGGAACUUUACCAGAUGACAAAAAGAGAGCACAAGCUAUACCGUAUGAAACUAGCCAAUAUGAACUUCUAAAUGAUACGUUGUAUCAUUUCUUUCAACCAAGAACUAAAACUAGAACUUCAAAACAUCAAUUAAUAAAGCAAGUAGCAAUUCCUGAACCAUUGCGUAAUGAUAUUUUAUUGUCAUUUCAUGAUCAAAAAGCCGGUGGUUCACAUUUAGGUGUACAAAGAACUUACGAAGCAAUUAAACAAAGAUAUUUUUGGCCAAAAAUGUAUCAAAAUGUUUAUGAUUAUGUUACUAGUUGUCAAAUUUGUCAAACUGUGAAAAAAGACAGUUCUGCUAAAAAAGCACCUUUAAAAUCAUUGCCAGUGCAAGGACCUUUUGUACGACUUCACAUGGACGUAUUAGGGGGGUUACCAACUUCAAAAGAUAAAUAUAAAAUAUACAUCUUGUUAGUAACAGAUUCUUUCUCACAUUGGUGUGAAGCUUUUCCAAUGAAAUCUCAAGAAGCCGAAGAAAUUGCAAACAUCUUAUAUUCUGAAAUUUUUACUAGAUAUGGAGCUUGUCGUUAUUUGGUAUCUGAUAGACAUGCAAGUAAUUUAAGCAAACUCGUCAACAUUCUAUGUAAAAUGUUCAAUGUAACACAGCAUUUUACAAGUUCGUAUCACCCGCAAAGCAAUGUAGCAUGUGAAAGAACUAAUUCUACAUUAGCUCAAUCAUUAAGAGCGUAUUGUUCUGAACAACAAACAACAUGGCCCGAAGUUUUACCUAGUAUUAUGAUGGCAUUUAGGAUGAGUCCUAGUACUCAAUCUACCGGGUUUUCGCCGUAUUAUAUGAUAUUUGGAAGAGAAUGCCUUUACCAAUAGAUACAGCAUUAAUUCCUGAAGAAUUAAUUACCCAAUCUCCAGAAAAAUAUAUUGAUCAAUUAAUAAAUAGAAUCAAAAUUAUUCAUGAUCUUGCUAAAACUAAUUUAGAAGAUGCUCAACUUAAAAGUAAAACAUACUAUGAUAAAUCAACUAGAGCACCAAAUUUCAAGGUCGGUGAUCAUGUUUUACUAAAACAAGAAAAAGUUCAGAUAGGAAAGAAAAAGAAAUUAGAACCUAAGUGGACAGGUCCUUUUUCUAUACUUGAAAAUAGGCAUGAUUUAAUUUACAAGUUACUAAAUUUAAAAACACUUAGGCCAGUAAAAUCAUUUAUCCAUGCAAACAGACUUAAACUAUAUAAAGAUCCGGAAGAUCAUAGACCACCUCCAAAUCUAUUAAUAAAUAAUGAUGAUUUAAAUAAUGAUCAAAGUAAUGGAAAUCAACAAGAUUCCGAUAAUUCAAAUGAUGAUUUGAGUGAAAAUGAGAGUCAUGAAGACAAUUCUCAAAGUGAUUUAAAUGAAUCAAACUCAAAUCAAAAUCAAGACAAAAAUGACGUAUGGUAUGAAGCUAUUAAAUUAUUAAAAUUAAAAUGGAUAACAGGAAAGAAAUAUUAUUUAGUUCAAUGGAAAGAUAAUUCAGACCCAUCAUGGGAACCACAAGAAAAUGUUAGUCAAGCAUUAAAGAUAGCAUUUCAUUCAGAUAAAGCGCGUAAAAAGUUAAAGAAAACAAAUAAAUAG